GCCCCCGUAGUAUAGUGGAUAGUACGCAGGGUUGCGGACCCUGAAACCCGGGUUCGAUUCCCGGCGGGGGCA
RNAcentral lists this transfer RNA (72 nucleotides) under Candidatus Heimdallarchaeota archaeon. Its description in RNAcentral is "tRNA-Arg". It matches the Rfam family "tRNA". Rfam says of the family: Transfer RNA (tRNA) molecules are approximately 80 nucleotides in length. Their secondary structure includes four short double-helical elements and three loops (D, anti-codon, and T loops). Further hydrogen bonds mediate the characteristic L-shaped molecular structure. tRNAs have two regions of fundamental functional importance: the anti-codon, which is responsible for specific mRNA codon recognition, and the 3' end, to which the tRNAs corresponding amino acid is attached (by aminoacyl-tRNA synthetases). tRNAs cope with the degeneracy of the genetic code in two manners: having more than one tRNA (with a specific anti-codon) for a particular amino acid; and 'wobble' base-pairing, i.e. permitting non-standard base-pairing at the 3rd anti-codon position. The record is from RNAcentral. Lineage: Archaea; Promethearchaeati; Candidatus Heimdallarchaeota. RNAcentral also lists the same sequence under 2 other names.